AGAAUCAACGCUGGCGGCGUGCCUAACACAUGCAAGUCGAACGAGAACGGGCAGCAAUACCUUAGUAAAGUGGCGCACGGGUGAGUAACACGUGACUAACCUACCCUCGAGUGGGGAAUAACCUGGGGAAACCCGGGCUAAUACCGCAUAAUACCCACGGGUCAAAGGAGCAAUUCGCUUGAGGAGGGGGUCGCGGCAGAUUAGUUAGUUGGCGGGUAAUGGCCCACCAAGACGAUGAUCUGUA
This 244-nucleotide ribosomal RNA is filed under the name uncultured bacterium. Its description in RNAcentral is "partial small subunit ribosomal RNA". It matches the Rfam family "Bacterial small subunit ribosomal RNA", at positions 26 to 285 of the family's 1533-position model. The record is from RNAcentral.